Molecule: ribosomal RNA, 496 nt
Filed under: uncultured bacterium
Lineage: Bacteria
Description: partial 16S ribosomal RNA
Rfam family: Bacterial small subunit ribosomal RNA
Source: RNAcentral
AUUGAACGCUGGCGGCAUGCCUAACACAUGCAAGUCGAGCGGAUGAAGGUGGCUUGCUCCUGGAUUCAGCGGCGGGCGGGUGGGUAAUUCCUAGGAAGCUGCCCUGUAGUUGGGCAGAGGGCCAGAAAUGGGAACCUAUUCCCACAUCGCAUAUAAGGUGGAAACAGAGGUUUUUUGGGUGAAAGCUGCAAUUGCAUCACUCAGAGAGGAUUCUGGGUUGGAUUAGCUAGUUGGUGGGGUAAAGGCCUACCAAGGCGAGGAUCAGUAGCCGAUCUGAGAGGAUGAUCAGUCAAACUGGAACUGGGACACGGUCCAGACUCCUACGGGAGGCAGCAGUGGGGAAUAUUGGACAAUGGGCGAAAGCCUGAUCCAGCCAUGCCGCGUGUGUGAAGAAGGUCUUCGGAUUGUAAAGCACUUUAAGUGGGGAGGAAGGGCAGUAAGUUAAUACCUUGCUGUUUUGACGGUACCAACAGAAUAAGCACCGGCUAACUUCGUG